AUUUUCUCUAUGGGUGAGAUCCUUUAACCUCUUCUUUUUAAGGAAUAUUUGGCAUCGAUUAUGUGAUGUCACAUUUUUGUUUUCAUUAAGAAGAUAAUUUGCACGUGUAUUAAAAAUAAUUUUCACCUAAAAGUUUCUAAAGAUGCGCCGUUCAACAGCCAGCAUUGGUUCUCAAAGCGCAGGGGAAGAAACCAAGCGAGCAAGGGAUGCUUGCAUUUCAAGUUUCGUUAUGUUUUUUUUAUCAAUAGCAGUAAUUAGAACAAUACCAACAAUUUUGCAGCAGGUGUAACAGUUAAAGAAGAACCUUUUCGGGUCAAAAACAAUUUUGCACAAAUUUCUGUUACCAUGAUUUUAAUGGUUUUCUUCAAAACAAACAAAUAUUUUUUGUUGAUGUAAAAAAUCUUUAAUGAAGUGCUUCAUAUUGUAAUAGAUACUUACAUAGUACAUUUUUUAUGUAAAUAAAGCUUUUUAUUGGAGA
Agrilus planipennis (emerald ash borer) is the source of this 478-nucleotide long non-coding RNA. RefSeq lists it as uncharacterized. NCBI's taxonomy places the organism in Eukaryota, Metazoa, Arthropoda, Insecta, Coleoptera, Buprestidae. The record is from RefSeq and is a predicted model, not a curated record. The transcript is spliced from 2 exons.